AUUCUUUUAGUAUAAUUAGUACAGUUGACUUCCAAUCAAUUAGCUUCAGUUCUACCUGAAAAAGAAUA
RNAcentral lists this transfer RNA (68 nucleotides) under Elephantulus fuscipes (Dusky-footed elephant shrew). RNAcentral describes it as "tRNA-Gly". It matches the Rfam family "tRNA". Rfam says of the family: Transfer RNA (tRNA) molecules are approximately 80 nucleotides in length. Their secondary structure includes four short double-helical elements and three loops (D, anti-codon, and T loops). Lineage: Eukaryota; Metazoa; Chordata; Mammalia; Macroscelidea; Macroscelididae. The record is from RNAcentral.